AUCAGCCCGCGCCCCGUAAAACGGGACGGCCCGCCCGAGGACCCCUAAACUCUGUUUUUAGUGGAACUUCUGAGUAAAACAAACAAAUAAAUCAAAACUUUCAACAACGGAUCUCUUGGUUCUGGCAUCGAUGAAGAACGCAGCAAAAUGCGAUAAGUAAUGUGAAUUGCAGAAUUCAGUGAAUCAUCGAAUCUUUGAACGCACAUUGCGCCCGCCAGUAUUCUGGCGGCAUGCCUGUUCGAGCGUCAUUUCAACCCUCAAGCUCAGCUUGGUGUUGGGACUCGCGGUAACCCGCGUUCCCCAAAUCGAUUGGCGGUCACGUCGAGCUUCCAUAGCGUAGUAAUCAUACACCUCGUUACUGGAAAUCGUCGCGGCCACGCCGAAAAACCCCAACUUCUGAAUGUUGACCUCGGAUCAGGUAGGAAUACCCGCUGAACUUAAGCAUA
RNAcentral lists this ribosomal RNA (446 nucleotides) under Fusarium incarnatum. RNAcentral's name for it is "eukaryotic LSU rRNA". The stretch from base 96 to 248 matches the Rfam family "5.8S ribosomal RNA". The record is from RNAcentral. Lineage: Eukaryota; Fungi; Ascomycota; Sordariomycetes; Hypocreales; Nectriaceae.